CAGAUUAUAGCAUAUAUUAAUGCCUUUUAUUUACACUAAAAAGAAAAAUUAUUUAAUCUGU
RNAcentral lists this transfer RNA (61 nucleotides) under Mooreobdella quaternaria. RNAcentral's name for it is "tRNA-Val". The record is from RNAcentral. Lineage: Eukaryota; Metazoa; Annelida; Clitellata; Hirudinida; Erpobdellidae.